This 449-nucleotide ribosomal RNA is filed under the name uncultured bacterium. Its description in RNAcentral is "partial 16S ribosomal RNA". It matches the Rfam family "Bacterial small subunit ribosomal RNA", at positions 28 to 523 of the family's 1533-position model. The record is from RNAcentral.
AGCGAACGCUGGCGGCAGGCUUAACACAUGCAAGUCGAGCGGGCCCUUCGGGGUCAGCGGCGGACGGGUGAGUAACGCGUGGGAACGUGCCCUCUGGUCUGGAAUAACCCUGGGAAACUAGGGCUAAUACCGGAUACGCCCUUUUGGGGAAAGGCUUGCUGCCGGAGGAUCGGCCCGCGUCUGAUUAGCUAGUUGGUGGGGUAACGGCCUACCAAGGCGACGAUCAGUAGCUGGUCUGAGAGGAUGAUCAGCCACACUGGGACUGAGACACGGCCCAGACUCCUACGGGAGGCAGCAGUGGGGAAUAUUGGACAAUGGGCGCAAGCCUGAUCCAGCCAUGCCGCGUGAGCGAUGAAGGCCUUAGGGUUGUAAAGCUCUUUUAUCCGGGACGAUAAUGACGGUACCGGAGGAAUAAGCCCCGGCUAACUUCGGGCCAGCAGCCGCCGUAA